UAGUAUAAAAUAGUUGCCUUCUCUUUCCUGA
RNAcentral lists this non-coding RNA (31 nucleotides) under Rattus norvegicus (Norway rat). The record is from RNAcentral. Lineage: Eukaryota; Metazoa; Chordata; Mammalia; Rodentia; Muridae.